UUUUUUUUUUUUUUUUUUUGCUUUUAUGACCCAGCAAUCCCACUCUUGGGAAUAUAUCGGGAUAAAACUCUCCUUGAAAAACACACAUGCAUCCAUUUGUUCAUUGCAGCACUAUUCACAAUAGCCAAGACAUGGAAACAAUCUACAGGUCCAUCAACAAAUGAUUUGAUUAAAAAGAUGUGGUAUAUAUACACAAUGGAAUACUACUCAGCCAUAAAAAAGAACAAAAUAAUGCCAUUUGCAGCAACACGGAUGGAACCACAGACUCUUAUAUUAAGUGAAGACAGAAAGUGAAAGACAAAUACCAUAUGAUAUCACUCAUGGGAUCUAAUACCUGGCACAGAUGAACCUUUCUGCAGAAAAGAAAAUCAGGGACAUGGAGAACAGACUUGUGGUUGCCAAGGGGGAGGGAGUGGGAUGGAUUGGGAAUUUGAGGUUAAUAGACAUAAACUAUUACCUUUGGAAUGGAUAAGCAAUGAGAUCCUGCUAUACAGCCCUGGGAACUACAUCUAGUCCCUUAGGUUGGAAGAUGAUGAUGUGAGAAAAAGAAUGUAUACAUGUAUAUGUCUGGGUCACUUUGCUGUACAGUGGAAAAUUGACAGAACACUGUAAACCAGCUAUAAUUGAAAAAUAAAAAUCAUUAUAAAAACAAAAUAAAAAUUAAAAAAAAAGGAACCCAUCAUGAGGCACCACACUCAUGACUUAAUCACCACCCAAAGGCCUUGCCUCCUAAUAAUAUCACACUGAGAUAUAGCAUUUUCAACACAUGGCCGUGGGAGGACACAAAUAUUUACUUCAUAACAGCACCUGAAUUAACAAAUUAUUAUCAUUAAAAACAAUAUAAAUAUGCAAGCAUAGUAAUAUUCAGAUUAAACUAUUGGUUUUUGAUCUUUUCUAAUCUUCACAGCAACUUUAUGAAUCAGACUAAAAUUGUAUAAUUUUGUUGUCAAUCUAGAAUUAACGGUAUGGACUGUCAAAAGGGGUAAGAGAUCUUUUUGAAGUCAUGUUGUUAGGAGUAUUGUCAUGUCCAGGGCUCAAGGUACCUGACUACUAUCCUCAUGACGAAUAGUUAAUGAGUCACUAUUAUUUACCAAGAAAUUUUUAUAGCUUUUGCCAAAAAAAGCUACAAUGUAUGCACAGAUACUAUUCUCAGUUUCCUCUUGAGGAGAAAACUGGGACUCAGAUCAGUUAAACAAUUCAUCCAUGAUAACACAGCAGGAAAAUGGCAAUGCAAUAUUUAUGGCACGGUCUAUAUGAAAAAACACAUUCUCUUAGCCAUUUAAUUUUGUGACUCUCAGGCUAUUUUGUCAAGUUUUUUCUUUGUGUUAUAUAAUAAGCAAAGAUGUAGGAUUUCAGUGAAAGAGGACCCAAUAUAGCUUAAUGUAGCAGAAAAAAAUUAAUGAGAAAAAUGAAAAGAAUAAAAAGAGAAAUAUAAGUAAAAAGUUGAAAAACAGCAUAAUUAAGAACACAGAAAUGAACAUAUCAUAAGAAAUAACUGUGUAGCUUAAUUACAGUAUUUACCAUUCAAGAUCUAUAGUUCCAGAAGUACGUUGAAUACCAGUGGUGAGUGGACAUUCUUAUCUUAUUCCUAAUUUUAGUGGAAAUGCUUUCAGUUUUCACCACUGAGAAUGAAGUUAGCUGUGGGCUUUUCAUAUAUGGCUUUUAUUAUGUUGAGGUAGGUUCCUUCUAUUCCAAUUUUCUGGAGAGAUUUUAUUAGAAAUGGGUAUUGAAUUUUGUCAAAAGCUUUUUCUGCGUCUAUUGAGAUGAUCAUACAGUUUUCAUUCUUCAGUUUGUUGAUGUGGUUUAUCACACUGAUUCAUUUAUGGAUAUUGAAAACAUAUAGAUAGCCAAUAGGCAUAUGAAAAGAUGCUCAACAUCACUAAUUAUUAGAGACAUGCAAAUCAAAACGACAAUGAAGUAUCACCUCAUACCAGUCAGAACAGCCAUCAUCAAAAAAUCUACAACUAACAAAGACGGGAGGGAGUGUAGAGAAAAAAGAACCCUCCCAACAUUGUUGGUGGGAAUGUGAAUUGGUGCAACCACUUUGGAGAACAGUGCAAAGAUUCCUCAAAAAACUAAAUGCAGAACUACCAAAUCAUGCGGCAGUCCCAUUCCUGGGCAUAUAUCUGGACAAAACUGUAAUUCAAAAGAUACAAGCACCUCUGUGUUCAUUGCAGUGUUAUUCAAAAUAACCAAGACACGGAAACAACUUAAAUGUACACUGGCAGAUGAAUGGAUUAUGAUGUGGUACAUACAUACAAUGGAAUACUACUCAGCCAUAAAGGAAUGAAAUAAUGCUGUCUGCAGAAACAUGGAUGCAACUAGAGAUGAUCAUACUGAGCAAAGUAAGCCAGAAAGAGAAAGACAGAUACCAUAUGAUAUUACUAAUAUGUGGAAUCUAAAACAUGGCACAAAGGGACCUAUCUACAAAAGAGAUACAGACUCAGACAGAGAGAACAGAGUUGUGGUUGACCAGGAGGUGGGGGAAGGGAGUGGGAUGGACUGGGAGUUUGUGAUUAGUAGAUGAAAAUUAUUACCUUUAGAAUGGAUAAGAAAUGAGGUCCUACUGUAUAGUACAGGGAACUAUAUCCAGUCUCCUGGGAUGGACCAUGAUGGAAGAUAGUGUGAGAAAAGAAUGUAUACAUAUGUAUACAUUUCUGUGCAGCAGAAAUUGGCACAACACUGUAACUCAACUAUAAUUUAAAACAAGAGAUCUGUAAUCCCAGUUAUGAAAGUUGAUAAAUUAUAAAUAAUUUUGCCUAUUACUUGACUAGCUUUAUGCACAUACUAAGAGUGAGAUCUUCAUUCAGGGAAUCCACGCAGCGGUGCAACUGUAUGUUAAAACUCAACCUCAGGGAUGAUCUUUGGCUCCCUUUAUUUGCACGGUCCUUAAUUUCACAGGGAUACAUCACAGUGUUUCCUGGCCAUCAAUUCUUGAACAAAAGUCACUGUAAGUGCUUAAUUUCAUAGGGAUACAUCACAGUGUUUCCUGGCCAUCAAUUCUUCAACAAAAGUCACUGUAAGUGUCUUCUAUAGAAUUCAGAAAACAAAACGAGGAGCUACUGUUCAAGUCAAUUUCCUCUUCAAUUAAUCUCUGCAUGGUCAGAACAUCUUAUCAUGGCUUUGUUUUAUUCACUAGCCAAGGAUGUAAUUUUGAGCUGGCUUGCAGUUUUGAGCGAUAUCAGCUGUACCAUAAAUUAAAGCUUUGUAAGAUAUAGCAGCAGGAGGGUAACACUGUAAGCCAAGGUAAUAACCACAGAAAUAGAGAGAAGAGAAGUGUGGGGAAGAAUAUUUUGGACGCUAAAGACUGUAUAAAAGGAGAUUUAAAAUGAUCUGGUAAUUAUUCUGAAAGUUAGGAUAAAGGAAUAACUCAUACGUAGGGGUGUGAAAUAAUCCAAUCUCAGUGUUAGGAAGAACUUUUGUCACUGAGUGAUAGAUUUUAUGGAGAGAUGGAAUGUUAAAAGCACAAGUUAUCUUUGUUUUCAAUUUAAAAAAAUCGUUGAUCAACCAGUAUUUAGCAAGUAGCUAGUAUAUGUCAAAUACUUCCAUACCACGGUGAAAAAUCUAGGUAUGAUUCCAGCCCUUGACCCACAGUAUAGUUGGAAAAACAGAAAUUAAAUAAGUUGGAGUAUUAUGAAAAGAAGUUAACAACUGUGAAAAUAUGAGGAAUAUAUUUCUCACUGGAAACUCAACCAACCUCAGUAUUGAAAACCUGAUGAUUCAUUGCAGUCAUGCUUUUUGGAACUUCUGACAAAUUCAUUAGUUAUGAUUUUAUUCCAAAUACUAAUUCUCUCAUUUUAUCAAUCUAUGUUCAUAAGAGUUAAUUACCAAAUCUAUAAAGCUAAUAAUAUUUAUAAUGGUACCAUUUAUAAAAAUCAUGCUCAAACUAAUGUUAAAGCAUACAGAAAUCCAAACCAGAAUAUUAUUAGGAAUAGAUGAAAACAGAAAAAGGGGAAAUAAUGUCUGAUGGAGCAGGUUGGAACACUUGGAUUAAUGGAAGCAGAGACAGGCAAAUCAGGGAGGGUUUUGAGUCUCAUUCCCUCACUUACUCAGAGGAAAAGCUUUAAGGUGUGUGGGGAGGUGGACACAGGACAUUGUAGAACACAUGGAGGGUUGAUGUCAACGUAUGGAUGUAUCAUUUCCGUGUACUCGAGAAAUUCUCUGUUUCUCUGUGUGUAAAACCUAGGAUGGUAUUUGUAAUAUCAUUUCCGUGUACUCGAGAAAUUCUCUGUUUCUCUGUGUGUAAAACCUAGGAUGGUAUUUGUAAUAUCAUUUCCGUGUACUCGAGAAAUUCUCUGUUUCUCUGUGUGUAAAACCUAGGAUGGUAUUUGUAAUAUCAUUUCCGUGUACUCGAGAAAUUCUCUGUUUCUCUGUGUGUAAAACCUAGGAUGGUAUUUGUAAUAUCAUUUCCGUGUACUCGAGAAAUUCUCUGUUUCUCUGUGUGUAAAACCUAGGAUGGAUGGUAUUUGUAAUAUCAUUUCCGUGUACUCGAGAAAUUCUCUGUUUCUCUGUGUGUAAAACCUAGGAUGGUAUUUGUAAUAUCAUUUCCGUGUACUCGAGAAAUUCUCUAUUUUUCUGUGUAUAAAACCUAGGAUGGAUUUUAUGUGUUUAUCAGUCAUUACUUCAAUUGUUGGACUGUGAAAUCAAAAACCAAGUUAAGCACAUGUGCAGUUUUAAAAACCACAUUCAUAAAAACACAUCUUGGUUUGAGAGAAUUGGGAGUAAAAAUAGGAUUCCUUUCAGUCUUUGUGGUUAAGAAGCAAAGAGACUCUACUUUCAAAGAGGAAAUUAGAUGUCCUUAUGAAAAGGCGUGAGCUGUCAAAUUAUUUUUCCAGUCCUUUAAUCAUCGUAAUAUUCAUUGAUAAAAUUUUUUGACCUAGUAAUUUGUAUAUUUACUAGGAAAGGUCCAACAUCAAUUUUGAAUCCAACGGAUUUUUUUCAAACUUAGAGAGUUGUAACAAAUAUUUACUGAUAUGUUAAUUGAUAAAAUGACCAUGUUCAAAAUGGUCUCAAGAGAGGUGAGAAAAAUAUUUUAAUUCAUAAAAUAAUUUAUAAUCAUCCUGACAUUCUCUUCGUUGUUGAGAGGAUGGUCAGAUAAAGUUCAUUGUUGCUUUUUUACUUUUUUUCUAAUGGCUGCACUCAUGGCAUAUGGGAACUCCCAGGCCAGGGACUGAGUCCAAGACACUGCAACUGUGGCGAUGCCAGAUUCUUUAACCCACUGUGACAGGCUUGGGAUUGAAUCUGCUCAUGCUUGAGAUUUCAACUCAGAAAAAAAAAAAAAAAUAUGUAUGUGUGUGUGUGUGUAGGCAGAAUUAAGUAAAGUAGGGAGAAUGACACCCACGAAAUGAACCAGGAUUUCAUUUCUCUUCUUCUUCUUUUUUUUUUUUUUUGCUUUUUUAGGGCCGUACUUGUGCCAUAUGGACACUUCCAGGCUGGGGUUUGAAUCUGAAUCAGAGCUGCAGCUGCUGGCCCACAUUGCAGCCACAGCAACAAGGGAUCUGCGU
RNAcentral lists this long non-coding RNA (5504 nucleotides) under Sus scrofa (pig). Its description in RNAcentral is "lncRNA (ENSSSCG00035056990.1)". The record is from RNAcentral. Lineage: Eukaryota; Metazoa; Chordata; Mammalia; Artiodactyla; Suidae.